Long non-coding RNA from Beta vulgaris subsp. vulgaris (sugar beet), 407 nucleotides. RefSeq lists it as uncharacterized. The record is from RefSeq and is a predicted model, not a curated record. The transcript is spliced from 3 exons. NCBI's taxonomy places the organism in Eukaryota, Viridiplantae, Streptophyta, Magnoliopsida, Caryophyllales, Amaranthaceae.
ACCCACUUUUCUUUACAUAGAACUCUCCUAAACAUCCAUACAAAGUAGUUCAAGCUUUGGUUCCAAUCUUUAGACCUUAAACUCAUAUAGAAAACCUUGCUGAAAGAUCACAUAAGUUGCUGGGGAGCUAUAGGAGUAGUUAACCAAGUGGAUUAAGGAAUUUCGUGGCUUUAAGCAUCCUUAGUUAAGAGUCAAACAUUGUUGCAGGUUUGGUGUUGUGAGCUCAGGAUUCAGAAGUGAAGCAAGAUAAAGAUGUCGUCGUAGCUUAUGAAUUGAGUUUGUAUUUUAGAUAGUCAAUUAAGGAAUAGUUUCUGAUAUAUUUUCGAUGUAUAAUAUUUGGGAAUCUAGUUGAGAUAAUUGUGUUAUUUUAAGGAUUUUAUUUUGUGGGCCAAUAACCCACAGGUCCA